CACACAGGUAAUAAAUACACUUUCAACUUGUAAGGGGCCAUACUUGUGAACAUUGAUUAUUUCCUGUAACAAUUUCAGCCUAAUAAAAGAUCUUAAAGAGCGACUGCCCAUAAUCAACUAAUCCCAUUAAAUGGCCUAUGUGGCAUUGAUAAGAGUCACACACAUUUAUUAUAGUGUGAAAAUAGGGCAAUCAGUCUUUGUCAAUGUCAGUCUUGUCAAAAACGGAGUUUGGAACCAAGUGCGUCACAACGAGUAAAUGAAGGUUGGUUUUGGAUUACAAUUAUGUCAACAAAUCAUCCCCAAUUUUGCCUCGCUCCACGUGCAACUCGCCCCAUCCGCUUCGCUUUUCAGAAUGGGGCUCUUUUUUUUCAUCACCGCCGUUUAUGACUAAAAAGCCCUGUGUGGAUUGACCAUGACUCCACACCCAAAGUUAUAUGGUUUGCAUGCCCUGCCGAAGGACCCUAGUAUGCGGAAAGGCGGUUGGAGUUCGCCAGUCCCCUCUGCACCACCAGUAUAGUAACGCUAGCUGGUGUGCAACGUUCGGUGGUGGUGAGUAUAACCAGAGAUACUGUUAUAUGACCUCUGGUAUAAUUUAGCUAACGUUAUUGCUGGUUAAGUAGCUAUCUUUUGACAAAGCGAGGCAGGCUAGCUAACGUUUUAGCUAUUGUUAGCAUAGCUAGCUAGCUCGUUACAAUAGCUCAUACUGCUGGUUAUAUAACGUUAUCAUUUGACAUGUCGGAUUUGCAAGUGUCUUCUGUACGUUAUUUCCAAAGGCAAAACUAAAUAAUAAAUGCAACUAUGGUGAUAGUUAACUCAUGUGUGAGUCUGACUAAUACGAUGAACUAGGAGCAACAACCCGCAAUGGCGUCACUGGCCUGAAUCCAAUCUGGAGCUACAGUCAGUCUACAUCUAUAAAGCAUAUCAUUAUGGUUUCCACAUCCACAAUCGGUUAUAUGGCAAAAAUGAAUGUAACAUUUAAAAAUGUAUGUUGGUCUUAAUUUAAAGUUACGUUUAAAAAUCACAUUUUAAUAAGAUAAAUUGUAGAAAUAGGCGAGGUGUUUGACUUUGUGGCUGUGGUAACUAGUGACGACCUAGAAUUAGCUUGACCCGAGUUACUGCCCUGAUGACACAGGCGGCUUCAUCAACAACGGCAAUGUGUGUUAUAUGAAAGGUUGUGUAAAAAAAACACGGUUUUGUUAAAACUAUUAGGUGAAUUACCCAGUCAAGCAGAUACAAGUAGUACAGUAAUUUUGGUUUUGAAGUGCAUUAUCAAAAAGCUUUGUCAUUUCUUUAACAAAAUGCAAUUUACCACUUGGCUGUCUAUCAUAUAACCCUAACACAACCUCAUAAGAUGAGGAAGUCCAUUGUUUAUGAGGAUUGCUUGCAGCAGUUGUUCGAGAGAUAUCCAGUUUGCUUCCAAACAUGCAAUAUAGAGAAGACCAGCAAGGGGACCCUUAGCAUCACGCAGACAUGCCCUCGCUGUGACGAUUCCUAUAAAUUGAACAGGGAGGAUGCUUGAAUCGGGUUGGUGACAUUUGACCUGGUCAAAUGUUUACCGUUCUAUUUCAGCGAGCAGCUUGGUUCCACCAAUCGAGUCAUAACCACCAUUGAUAAUGUAAUCAGUGCUCUGUGUUUGUGUGUGACUGACCAAGCACAAGCGGGGUGCUGGCAAAGACCUUACCUCAAUUCUCACCUCUUGCCUGCUCACCAGCGGUCAUUGAUGGGGAGACCAGAAUUAGGUAGGUUUAGUCUGACCUGUUCAAACUUCAACAUAGUUUGUUUGUCAUAUCACCUAUUCUAACUGCUAUUUGGUUAUAGAACACUGACUGUGUAUGUGUUCACAGAUUAAGCUAUGGUGGCAGCACAUGGAGAGAUGUGAUGGAGUCCUGACCGACAGAGGCUUGAUAGUGACGUCUCAAUGGAGAGAGACCUGGCACUCAACACAUCCACAAUGUGGGACAGAAGUUCUACAGAUGGACUGCAGAUGCUUUUGCCAGACGGCAGCCAGUCGUUUGAUGGGGGAGACCAUAAUUGGGCAGGUUUUAUUUGACUUGUUCAAACUUCAACAUAGUACCUACCUGUGUGUCAGAUAUCACCUAUCCUAACUGCCAUUGGUAAUAGAACAGUGACUAUGUAUGUGUUCACAGAAACAUCUAUGGAGCCAGCACAUGGAGACUUGCAAGAUGAUGUGAUGAAGUCCAGACUAACAGACAGGCUUGACACUGAUGUCUCUGAAUAGAGCGAGACCUGGCAUUAACAUUUUACUAGACAAUUUUUACUUGUAUUGCCUUUUUUAAAUGAUUGAAUUGAAUGCUAUCAGUCAAUAUGUGGAGGGAGAAACCCUGUGUAUUCUGAACCAGGAUCAGGGAACUCCUGUUGUAUAUGGGACACCACACAGGAAGGUAUGACCACUCUGACAUGUUUGCCCCAUUACUACCAGACAAAAUGCUGAUAGGAAUGACAAUGAAAGUUUCACAUUGUUAUAUUAGCAGAACACUGCUUCUAUGAUAUUAUGUAAAGGGUGGUUUAUUCUACAUGGACCUGUUACUACAUUUUAAAGUAAUCAAAACACUUAGUAAAAUCUUUUAAAUUGUUGCAUGUUGCAUUUGAAGCUGAAAAUGUGUCCACCUGUAUUCCCAGGCAUGUGAAAUCUGUAGAUUAGGGCCAAAUGAAUGUUUCAAGUGACUGAUUUUCUUAUAUGAACUAACUCAGUAAAAUGUUGCAUGUUGCGUUUAUUUUUGGUCAGUGUAGAUAUUCUAAACUGAGUUAGUUCAUAUAAGGAAAUCUGUCAAUUGAAAUAAAUGAGGCCCUAAUCUACAGAUACAUUUUCAGCUUCCAGGAAUUGUGUACAGAUCCUUGCGACAUGGGGCAGUGCAUUAUCAUGCUAAAACAUGAGGUGAUGACGGCAGAUGAAUGGCACGACAAUGGGCCUCAGGAUCUCAUCAUGGUAUCUCUGUGCAUUCAAAUUGCCAUCGAUAAAAUGCAAAUGUGUUUGUUGUCUGUAGCUUAUGCCUGCCCAUACAAUAACCCCACCGUCACCAUGGGGACCUCAGUUCACAACAUUGACAUUGGCAAACUGCUUGCCCACACACAAUGCCAUACAGGCUGUCUGCCAUCUGCCCGGAACAGUUGAAACUGGGAUUCAUCCGUGAAGAGCACACUUCUCCACUGGCCAUCGAAGGCGAGCAUUUUCCCACUAUAGUUGGUUACGACGCCGAACUCCAGUCAGGUCAAGACCCUGUUGAGGACGACGAGCACCCAGAUGAGCUUCCCCGAGACGGUUUCUGACAUGUUGUGCAGAAAUUAUUCGGUUGUGCAAACCCAGUUUCAUCAGUUGUCCUGGUGGCUAGUUUCAGACGAUACUGCAGAUGAAGAAGCCAGAUGUGGAGGUCCUGGGCUGGUAUGGUUACAUGUGGUUGUGAGGCCCAUUAGACGUACUGCCAAAUUCUCUAAAACGGAGGCAGCUUAUGGUAGAGAAAUUAACAUUCAAUUCUCUGCACCAGCUCUGGUGGACAUUCCUGCAGUCAGCAUGCCAAUUGCACAUUGAACUUGAUACUUAUGUGGCAUUUUAGUAGCCUUGUAUUGUCCCCUAGCACAAGGUGCACCUGUAACGAUCAUGCUGUUAAAUCAGCUUCUUGAUAUGCCACACCUGUCAAAUGGAUUAUCUUGGCAAAGGAGAAAUGCUCACUAAUGGGGAUGUAAAUAAAUCUGUGCACAAAAGUUGAGAAAA
Molecule: non-coding RNA, 3730 nt
Organism: Salmo salar (Atlantic salmon)
Lineage: Eukaryota; Metazoa; Chordata; Actinopteri; Salmoniformes; Salmonidae
Source: RefSeq, a predicted model, not a curated record